Prunus avium (sweet cherry) is the source of this 137-nucleotide non-coding RNA. The record is from RefSeq and is a predicted model, not a curated record. NCBI's taxonomy places the organism in Eukaryota, Viridiplantae, Streptophyta, Magnoliopsida, Rosales, Rosaceae.
CCUAUCUAGGCUUGAUAAAUGAGAUUAUGAGUAAAGGCAGGCGCAUGACAUAUGAGGAGCUUUGUAAUGCUGUGCUGCCGCACUGGCAUAACCUGAGAAAGCAUAAUGGAGAGCGUUAUGCAUACACAAGUCCUUCA